GAUUAACGCUGGCGGCGUGCCUAACACAUGCAAGUCGAGCGGCAGCGAGUUUUACACUGAAUUCUGGAAGCUUCUAGUUGAAAGAGAAGAUUUAUUCAAGAAUUUUGUGUAAAAUGUCGGCGAGCGGCGGACGGCUGAGUAACGCGUGGGAACGUACCCCAAAGUGAGGGAUAACGUAUCGAAAGGUGUGCUAAUACCGCAUAUGGUCUUCGGAUUAAAGCCUUCGGGCGCUUUGGGAACGGCCUGCGUAAGAUUAGAUAGUUGGUGGGGUAAUGGCCUACCAAGUCGACGAUCUUUAACUGGUUUGAGAGGAUGAUCAGUCAGACUGGAACUGAGACACGGUCCAGACUCCUACGGGGAGCAGCAGUGAGGAAUCUUCCACGAUGGGGGAAAGCCUGAUGGAGCAACGCCGCGUGCAGGAUGAAGGCCUUCGGGUUGUAAACUGCUUUUAUAAGUGAGGAUUAUGACAGUAACUUAUGAAUAAGGAUCGGCUAACUACGUG
This 502-nucleotide ribosomal RNA is filed under the name uncultured bacterium. Its description in RNAcentral is "partial 16S ribosomal RNA". It matches the Rfam family "Bacterial small subunit ribosomal RNA", at positions 28 to 507 of the family's 1533-position model. The record is from RNAcentral.